GCUUAACACAAGUUGAGUAGGGAAAGUUUUUCGGUGUAGGAUGAGACUAUAUAGUAUCAGCUAGUUGGUGAGGUAAUGGCUCACCAAGGCUAUGACGCUUAACUGGUCUGAGAGGAUGAUCAGUCACACUGGAACUGAGACACGGUCCAGACUCCUACGGGAGGCAGCAGUAGGGAAUAUUGCGCAAUGGGGGAAACCCUGACGCAGCAACGCCGCGUGGAGGAUGACACUUUUCGGAGCGUAAACUCCUUUUCUUAGGGAAGAAUUCUGACGGUACCUAAGGAAUAAGCACCGGCUAACUCCGUGCCAGCAGCCGCGGUAAUACGGAGGGUGCAAGCGUUACUCGGAAUCACUGGGCGUAAAGGGCGCGUAGGCGGAUUAUCAAGUCUCUUGUGAAAUCCAACGGCUUAACCGUUGAACUGCUUGGGAAACUGGUAAUCUAGAGUGGGGGAGAGGCAGAUGGAAUUGGUGGUGUAGGGGUAAAAUCCGUAGAUAUCACCAAGAAUACCCAUUGCGAAGGCGAUCUGCUGGAACUUAACUGACGCUAAGGCGCGAAAGCGUGGGGAGCAAACAGGAUUAGAUACCCUGGUAGUCCACGCCCUAAACGAUGUAUGCUAGUUGUUGGGGUGCUAGUCAUCUCAGUAAUGCAGCUAACGCAUUAAGCAUACCGCCUGGGGAGUACGGUCGCAAGAUUAAAACUCAAAGGAAUAGACGGGGACCCGCACAAGCGGUGGAGCAUGUGGUUUAAUUCGAAGAUACGCGAAGAACCUUACCUGGGCUUGAUAUCCUAAGAACCUUAUAGAGAUAUGAGGGUGCUAGCUUGCUAGAACUUAGAGACAGGUGCUGCACGGCUGUCGUCAGCUCGUGUCGUGAGAUGUUGGGUUAAGUCCCGCAACGAGCGCAACCCACGUAUUUAGUUGCUAACACUUCGGGUGAGCACUCUAAAUAGACUGCCUUCGUAAGGAGGAGGAAGGUGUGGACGACGUCAAGUCAUCAUGGCCCUUAUGCCCAGGGCGACACACGUGCUACAAUGGCAUAUACAAUGAGACGCAAUACCGCGAGGUGGAGCAAAUCUAUAAAAUAUGUCCCAGUUCGGAUUGUUCUCUGCAACUCGAGAGCAUGAAGCCGGAAUCGCUAGUAAUCGUAGAUCAGCCAUGCUACGGUGAAUACGUUCCCGGGUCUUGUACUCACCGCCCGUCACACCAUGGGAGUUGAUUUCACUCGAAGCCGGAAUACUAAACUAGUUACCGUCCACAGUGGAAUCAGCGACUGGGGUGAAGUCGUAACAAGGUAACCGUAGGAGAACCUGCGGUUGG
This 1316-nucleotide ribosomal RNA is filed under the name Campylobacter lari. Its description in RNAcentral is "bacterial SSU rRNA". It matches the Rfam family "Bacterial small subunit ribosomal RNA", at positions 181 to 1521 of the family's 1533-position model. Lineage: Bacteria; Pseudomonadati; Campylobacterota; Epsilonproteobacteria; Campylobacterales; Campylobacteraceae. The record is from RNAcentral.